Molecule: long non-coding RNA, 2413 nt
Organism: Phasianus colchicus (ring-necked pheasant)
Lineage: Eukaryota; Metazoa; Chordata; Aves; Galliformes; Phasianidae
Source: Ensembl
AUGCAAACUUACACUCUAACAUGCUCUUCUAAUUCCCUUUCAGACAGUGACUUAAAAGGAAAUCCUCUGGCUUACUGUUACACAGACAAGGUCAGAGUUACACCAUGUACUUCUUUCUGCACCUGGCAGCCUCGCAGGAAUGAGUGCCAAAAAACGAGUGCAGACAGCUCUAGCAGCAGCUAUCCACACUGUGAAUGUCUCUGCACGGGGGUCCAAGUUGGAAGGCAUCUCAAGCUGCAACCUGACCCAUUUAUGCAUGGUCCAAGCUGUAAGUAUUGCCGCCAUCAGGAAAGCUGCAGCCAACGUCAGCACCAGCACAGAGCCUGUCCGUGUUCAGCUGAGCUCUGGGAGGAUCCCCAGCGAGCACCGAGGCCACCAUGGGGAAAGAGUUUAAAUAAAUAAAAACAGAUCGUGUUGGUAUCUAACAUCUAACUUUUGCCUUACACGCAGCUCUACCUUGCUGACUCAUAAGCACAUACAGCCACAUAUUUACCUGAAAUCGUCCAAAAAGAAGUUUAAAAAAUAUAUAGAAGAAACUGAUCAUCAAAUUAUAACCUGUGAAUGGAAACAGCUGAAAUCUGUAAAAUGGGAACAUAAAAAUGUAAUGUAAAAAAGUUGCUUUACGCUACAUUGGAAACAAACAAAAAAACGCAUCGGGCAAGGCUGGGUCCACAUCCCAAAAAGCUGCACUGACUGCAGGCAGUGGCCAAGCUUAGCUGAGUAUUCUGAUGCCAUACAGCCAUGUCUGUUUUCUCACUAAGGCAAACACACACCAGUACCACAAGCAGCCUGACAAGCUGCGACAGGAACACGAGUGGUACCGCUCAGAGAUACCGUCUGUAAAACAAGAAGAGUGAACUAUGACAUUCAAGUGAGAGAUGCACUGUACAGUACUGCUAGGUAACAGAAAGAUCACACAGGGCCCAAGGGAGAGUACUGAGUAUGUUGCAAGACUGGCACAGGCUUCCCUAUGGUUUCAUUACUCCAGUAUCUUAAGUUCCACCGAACCAGCCCACAAGGAGCCAUCCUUCCCUUGCUGUGCAGGGGAGCUUCCUUGAGAACCUCUCCCAGGCAAAUGUGGGAACCUGCUAGCAAAUACUUUUAAUAUUUGUGUUUGUUGGGAUCAUUCCCUGAACGAGAGAAAUGCUUUCCUUUGCUCACGCUGUCCCUGGCAUCCUUCAUCAUCAGACAGAGCACUUCACACUUGCCACGUGCUGUUUCUUUCUGGAUAGAAAGGGGAUGUACUGAGCUGGUCAAAACAAAGCAAAAGCAAUUUUUUGGUUAGUUUGUUUUUUUGUAAUUUUAACAUGGUGUUCCCUGGAGGUUAUCUCACGGAAUGGAAACAGAACAGCACACUCAUGGAAUGGGCUCAGUGCUGCAGGCACUCACUGCUCCCACUCGUGCCGCAGUCCCUGGCCGAUGCCCCAGGCCUCUGUGCAGCCACACAGCCCAUUGUUGUGGCUGGGAGUUGUCCAAGCACACUUGGUACCACCUGCUGCAAAUUCUUCAUUCCUUGUUAUCUCUGCAGCAGCUCUCAGCCUUUCAAAAGCUAGUUCCAUGAAGAAAGAGGAAAGGACAGUUUGUGCUUGAUAUUUAACCUGCAAUUCUGUUUUCCAGAAAUUCUACAGAUUAAUGGCUUUGAUUAUAUUUUAAGAACUCCCAGUGUGACACAACGAACUAUCAGCUCCUGCUGCUAUCCUCUAUAGAAGGCCAAACUCUGUGCUGUUAGGUUGCUUGAUCAGCAGUAUAAAUCCAACGCAGUGCCAAAGACUGCAAAGGAACAGCUUUCCCGGCAGGUAACAAGGCUUCUCUGGAGCCAUGGAAAUAAGAGAACAGAAGUUCAUCACAGCUGUCUGCACAAACAACAAGCUGCCCAGCACAGUGCAGACUGCAGCAUUUCUCUGUUUCUCCCUCUGCUGAGAACACACACUUUUGGUACUGAGGAUGCCAUCGGAGAAGCAGUGAGGGAUGUAACAGAGACAGCAAUUGUAGCACUGCUACAGGAACAGCUGAAUUUAUAUUCCUAACCAAGAUUUACUACAACUCACUGUAGCUGCCAGACACAACUAUUACAAAGGACUGUACAAGUUUAACAUCUGUGAACACACAUAGAUUGCUACAGCCAGCAGGUCAGGCUAUGGACCCCAACUACCCAGUGGGAAACUGGAAUGCUUCACAGUUAAAGGAAAAUCAGAGUUCAAGCCUUGAUCUAAAUGUCACCCAACCCGCUGCAAAUCCAAAAAUAGAGCUGAACCACUCAAAUUCACACUUAAUUGGCUGUACAGGCAGGCCAGCCAUUUUAAUUAUGGCACAGUAUUUACAGGGUAAUCACCAAGCAAAGGAAAACCUUACUAUGCUUUGGGCAUCUUUAAGCUGAUAAUAAAAGUAACAGUACAAUGCUGCUGGGAGAACA